GACUUGGUGGUGCAUGGUGCACACCCACUUCCUUUAAAGUGGGUCUCAAGAGAAAUUUCCAGUGGGAGGUCCCGGUUCGAUUCCGGGCCAGGUCA
This is a non-coding RNA of Mycena maculata, 95 nucleotides long. The record is from the annotation of a GenBank genome assembly. NCBI's taxonomy places the organism in Eukaryota, Fungi, Basidiomycota, Agaricomycetes, Agaricales, Mycenaceae.